CCUACGGGUGGCAGCAGUGGGGGAUAUUGGACAAUGGGGGGAACCCUGAUCCAGCGACGCCGCCUGAGUGAAGAAGUAUCUCGGUAUGUAAAGCUCUAUCAGCAGGGAAGAAAAUGACGGUACCUGACUAAGAAGCCCCGGCUAACUACGUGCCAGCAGCCGCGGUAAUACGUAGGGGGCAAGCGUUAUCCGGAUUUACUGGGUGGAAAGGGAGCGUAGACGGCAGCGCAAGUCUGAAGUGAAAUCCCAUGGCUUAACCAUGGAACUGCUUUGGAAACUGUGCAGCUGGAGUGCAGGAGAGGUAAGCGGAAUUCCUGGUGUAGCGGUGAAAUGCGUAGAUAUUAGGAGGAACACCAGUGGCGAAGGCGGCUUACUGGACUGUAACUGACGUUGAGGCUCGAAAGCGUGGGGAGCAAACAGGAUUAGAUACCCUUGUAGUC
RNAcentral lists this ribosomal RNA (440 nucleotides) under uncultured bacterium. Its description in RNAcentral is "partial 16S ribosomal RNA". It matches the Rfam family "Bacterial small subunit ribosomal RNA", at positions 338 to 795 of the family's 1533-position model. The record is from RNAcentral.